This 495-nucleotide ribosomal RNA is filed under the name uncultured bacterium. RNAcentral describes it as "partial 16S ribosomal RNA". It matches the Rfam family "Bacterial small subunit ribosomal RNA", at positions 28 to 507 of the family's 1533-position model. The record is from RNAcentral.
GACGAACGCUGGCGGCGUGCCUAAUACAUGCAAGUAGAACGCUGAAGGAGGAGCUUGCUUCUCUGGAUGAGUUGCGCACGGGUGAGUAACGCGUAGGUAACCUGCCUGUUAGCGGGGGGUAACUAUUGGAAACGCUAGCUAUUACAGCAUAAGAGUAGUUGUCGCAUGACAUUUGCUUAAAAGGUGCAAUUGCAUCACUACCAGAUGGACCUGCGUUGUCUUAGCAAGUUGGUGAGGUAACGGCUCCCCAAGGCAACGAUACAUAGCCGACCUGAGAGGGGGAUCGGCCACACUGGGACUGAGACACGGCCCAGACUCCUACGGGAGGCAGCAGUAGGGAAGCUUCGGCAAUGGACGGAAGUCUGACCGAACAACGCCGCGUGAGUGAAGAAGGUUUUCGGAUCGUAAAGCUCUGUUGUAAGAGAAGAACGAGUGUGAGAGUUGAAAGUGCACACUGUGACGGUAUCUUACCAGAAAGGGACGGCUAACUACGUG